RNAcentral lists this ribosomal RNA (444 nucleotides) under uncultured bacterium. RNAcentral's name for it is "SSU rRNA". It matches the Rfam family "Bacterial small subunit ribosomal RNA", at positions 26 to 518 of the family's 1533-position model. The record is from RNAcentral.
AGAACGAACGCUGGCGGCAGGCCUAACACAUGCAAGUCGAACGCCCCGCAAGGGGAGUGGCAGACGGGUGAGUAACGCGUGGGAACGUGCCCUUCGGUUCGGAAUAACUCAGGGAAACUUGAGCUAAUACCGGAUACGUCCGUAAGGAGAAAGAUUUAUUGCCGAAGGAUCGGCCCGCGUCGGAUUAGCUAGUUGGUGGGGUAAUGGCCCACCAAGGCGACGAUCCGUAGCUGGUCUGAGAGGAUGAUCAGCCACACUGGGACUGAGACACGGCCCAGACUCCUACGGGAGGCAGCAGUGGGGAAUAUUGGACAAUGGGCGAAAGCCUGAUCCAGCCAUGCCGCGUGAGUGAAGAAGGCCUUAGGGUUGUAAAGCUCUUUUGUGCGGGAAGAUAAUGACGGUACCGCAAGAAUAAGCCCCGGCUAACUUCGUGCCAGCAGCCGC